Molecule: ribosomal RNA, 294 nt
Filed under: uncultured microorganism
Description: partial 16S ribosomal RNA
Rfam family: Bacterial small subunit ribosomal RNA
Source: RNAcentral
GUGCCAGCAGCCGCGGUAAUACGUAGGGUGCGAGCGUUGUCCAUGAAUUACUGGGCGUAAAGAGCUCGUAGGUGGUCUGUCGCGUCAUUUGUGAAAGCCCGGUGCUUAACUCCGGGUUGGCAGGCGAUACGGGCAUGACUGGAGUACUGUAGGGGAGACUGGAAUUCCUGGUGUAGCGGUGAAAUGCGCAGAUAUCAGGAGGAACACCGGUGGCGAAGGCGGGUCUCUGGGCAGUAACUGACGCUGAGGAGCGAAAGCAUGGGUAGCGAACAGGAUUAGAUACCCUGGUAGUCC